Molecule: ribosomal RNA, 253 nt
Filed under: uncultured bacterium
Lineage: Bacteria
Description: partial 16S ribosomal RNA
Rfam family: Bacterial small subunit ribosomal RNA
Source: RNAcentral
UACGGAGGGGGCUAGCGUUGUUCGGAAUUACUGGGCGUAAAGCGUGCGCAGGCGGUUUCUUAAGUCAGAUGUGAAAGCCCCGGGCUUAACCUGGGAACUGCGUUUGAAACUGGGAGACUUGAGUGUGGCAGAGGGGGGUGGAAUUCCACGUGUAGCAGUGAAAUGCGUAGAUAUGUGGAGGAACACCGAUGGCGAAGGCAGCCCCCUGGGUUAACACUGACGCUCAUGCACGAAAGCGUGGGGAGCAAACAGG